Long non-coding RNA from Helianthus annuus (common sunflower), 2924 nucleotides. RefSeq lists it as uncharacterized. The record is from RefSeq and is a predicted model, not a curated record. The transcript has 8 exons. Lineage: Eukaryota; Viridiplantae; Streptophyta; Magnoliopsida; Asterales; Asteraceae.
CUUCUCAAAUCAUUCUUAGCCUUUAAAUCUUGCUGAAAUGAAAUCCUGUCCGUUUAAACUCUCUUUCUUUAACCGCUGUCACAGAAGUUACGCUCGGUUUCUUUGGCUUUCAUCCCCAUGUUCCCACGUAUGGUUCCUAGGGUUGUGGGCAGUUUGUUUCUGUCGGUUCACCCCACUAUCCUUUUUCUCCUCCUAAAUCAUUGCUACUACAACCGCACCUCCUGUAGGUUAUUUAUAGAUCGUCCCCAAACCUUCCAUUCCCAUUCUCAGAUUUACAUUCUUCAAUUAUUCCCCGCUAUUCAAAAUACAUCCAACUUUACAAGCCAGUGGAGUAGUUCGAUUUCAUCAACAAUCCAUUGGAGGAGCCGUACCAACAACCGAUUGGUAAACCCUUACCUAUUUUCUCAUCUUCUUCGUUCAAUCUCCGGUUGGUUUCCGUUGUAAUACAAAUCACCAAACAAACAAACAAACCCUUCCUUUCAUCUCUCCAGCGACAAAUAAACCAACAUGGGCAGUUCUAUAUGAAGCCGCGUUGGAAGAUGAAAUUGCAGAGAGAACAUCUAAUUGUUGAAGUUUCAUCUCAUCUCACCUCUAUAGAUAUAAUCAUUGCCAAUUUCUUUUCAAGGACACCACCGCCUCCCAACUGUGAGAUCGAACAAAGUUAAGGUUACAUCUACAACAGUAUCACCUAGCCCUUGAAUUCAAGAUGGGAUUUUAUGGUCAUCAAAGGAGGUACCGUGCAUAGAAGAAUUCCCCUUGUCUGCAGCCAACCCAUGUGGACGAACCAAGUGGGAGCACAUCUAAGUGGAUAUGUUGGUGAAGAUCCUCUUGCAAUAAAAAAUAAUCUUAUGCCUUUUGUCCAGAAUCGCCGUUGACAGGGUUCUGCACUCAAAAGUAUUCUCAACCAAAGAUGGAACAUGGGUGUGUAUUUGCUUCCAAAAUUUUGUUUUUGAUUCAUUCUUAAUGUUGAUAGUGCAAUUUGUCUGUUUAUAUUGUUUUUAUCUGUUUCUAAAUAAAUUUCAGGUACGUGAUUACAUAUAUGUUGCAGAUUUUAGCUAAUGGGCAUGCAUUUAAAAAAAGGGUAAUUGAACGGUACCCCCGAUCGCGGGAGGGUUCUCCCUCCCGAGCACGAUAGCCCCAUACCUAACUGGCGGUGAAUCCCCAGCCAUCGAGUGGACCAUAGGUUUUUUGGUAAUCGACCGGAGUAGAACCCGGGUCCCCACGAUUUGUGUGGGUGAGGCUGGCUACUGGGCUGACACCCAGUGGUUAUAUGGCUGCAUUUAGAAAACUCACAGUCCUGAAAUAGCUUUGUAUUCUUUUGUCAUGUUUGAUUAUUUCAUAUAUAUUAUAUUAAUAUUUACUAGACACAAUUACAAAUAAUCACAACUAUGUGGCAAAUUGUAGUUAAUUAAAUGAUAUGCAUGUCAUUAUUUUGGAUUUUGCUGCCAUGAGGAUAAAAAAUAAGAAGAAUCUACUUCUAUAUUUUUAAUAUAAAAUUUUAAAUGGGCCAAACAUUGGAGCAACUGUAAGGUUAUUAGUAUGAGACCUGGAGGUCAUGGGCUUGACUCAUGGAAAGUGCAAAAUUUUUGAUUUCUCGUCGAAAAUUUUAAAGGAUCCCUCAAUUAUUGUCUAAAUAUUUAUACAAUAUAUAAAUUGGGUCCCAUGACUUUCUGCCCCCCGAAACUGUUGGUCAAGCUCCGCCACUGAUUAUGAAGAAGUUUUAGAUACAGUGAUUGACUCAGAUGGAUGGCCAAGAAGUAAGAACCGGUGAUCUUUGUUACUUUGACAAUGAAGGAUUCCUGUUCGUUAUGGAUCGGUUGAAAGAGCUGAUCAAGUAUAAAGGUUACUAGGUACCACCAACCGAAUUGGAACACAUUUAUACAACCGCAUCAAUCUGCAGUGAUUCCGUAUGCAUUUCACCUCUUAAUCAGAAGUCGCAAUUUCAUCUUAAUUCAGAUUUAAACAUGUAUAUGGGUUAAAUUGUUACACGGGUGAUGGAUGGGCCAAUCACUAUAUAGCCAAAUAUGUGGAUCGAGUUUAAUAUAGAGUUUCUUGAAUAUCUUUUUUCGACAAUAAUCCCUUAAUCCCUCUUUUGUAUAUAGUUUUUUCUAUUCUUUGAUUGUAUUUAAAUGUUUCAAUGUUGGGUAUAAAAUUUCGUUGUGUUUUUAUUCUUUUAUAUUUAAAUAAAGAUGGUUAUGAAAUUAAACUUCCCGACUAGCGGAUGGGUAUAAAACUAAAAAGUUAUAUGAAAAGGGUCAAGUUAAAUGAGCUGUGCUUUUAUCUUAAACAUAAACUAUUUUGGUUUAGAAUCCAAAGAAAGAUAAUUUUGCCAUUAAUACAUUAAAAUACCCGUCUAUCGGAUUAUGACAUUUCUCAGUCUCCCCUAAGAAACGAUCCCAAAAAUACACCAAAUUUGUCAGAUGCGGACCAGACGACAACUCAACAAGAAGAAAAUAUGUCAUCGGUGGUUGAUAAUUUGGAACAUGAGGUCGACGCUGACAUUUCUUCUAAAUGUUACCAGGUAGAUGAUGCUAGAUGUACACUAAAUUCAUCAGAUGUCCACAAUGCAACAAGUCAUCAAGAAUUGGUGGUUGUUGAUGUGAACCAUCAGGUUGCCUCAGUAGACGAUGUAAAAAAUAUACCAAAUUUGACAAAUGGGCACCAUGCAUCAACUCAACAAGUCGAAAAGAGGCUAUCUUUGAGGUUGAAGAGGACGAUCCAAAAGCCGAAAAAAUUGAGGCAAUAAACCACGUUUGAUUGUUUAUAACACUUUCCCUCAGUGCUGCCUACCAUUUACUUUUGCAUUAAAAUGACAGUAUUUCAUGUUUUAUCUCUCUAUCAGUUUUAUUUUAUACUGUUUGUGGUUGUACACUGUUCACGUAGGUUUUCCUUUUAUAAAUUAAAAAUGGUGCUUUUGUUUAUAA